AAAGGAAUUGACGGGGACCCGCACAAGCGGUGGAUCAUGUUCUUUAAUUCGAUGAUAAACGAAGAACCUUACCAGGGUUUGACAUCCCGAGAAGGACUACGAAAGUAGACUGUGCCUUUUGGAACUCGGUGACAGAUGAUGCAUGGCCGUCGUCAGCUCGUGUCGUGAGAUGUUUGGUUAAGUCCAUCAACGAGCGCAACCCUUGUGAAUAGUUGUAUUUUUCUAUUCAGACUGCCCCGGUAACGGGGAGGAAGGAGGGGAUGAUGUCAGGUCAGUAUUUCUCUUACAUCCUGGGCUAGAAACGUGAUACAAUGGCAAGUACAAUGCGCAGCGAAGCCGCGAGGUGAAGCAAAUCGCAUCAAAGCUUGUCCCAGUUCGGAUAAGAGGCUGAAACUCGCCUCUUUGAAGUCGGAAUCGCUAGUAAUCGCAGGUCAGCAAACUGCGGUGAAUACGUUCCCGGGUCUUGCACACACCGCCCGU
Molecule: ribosomal RNA, 480 nt
Filed under: uncultured bacterium
Lineage: Bacteria
Description: bacterial SSU rRNA
Rfam family: Bacterial small subunit ribosomal RNA
Source: RNAcentral